RNAcentral lists this long non-coding RNA (1817 nucleotides) under Fragaria vesca (wild strawberry). Its description in RNAcentral is "long non-coding RNA (FVES_LNC000006)". Lineage: Eukaryota; Viridiplantae; Streptophyta; Magnoliopsida; Rosales; Rosaceae. The record is from RNAcentral.
UUUCUUAAAUUUUUUUAUAAGGUUUAGCUGACGAAACAUACUAUAUUUCUUCGGUUAUAGUCUGGGAAAAAAAAUUUUAUUAUAGACUUUAGCCGACGAAUAUCUUAAUUGUUUCGUCGGCUAAAGUCUGUAAUAAAAACCGACGACAUGUUUUUCGUCGGCUAAACUGCGGGACUAUAGCCAAUGAAAUUUUUUUUUUCGUCGGCUAAAGUCAUCACAGACGACUUUUUCCCGACGAAAUCUUAGCCAACGAAUUAAGCUAACAGGCCAACGAAAAUUUUUCGUCGGCUAAAGUGCUUGUCCUGGUAGUGGCGACGCAUAGUUUGCUUAGUCAAAUAGGCGCAACCUCUUAGUGGCAGGAUGAAACUAAAUGUACGUUGUCGGCUUUAUUUUCCUGCGGCAACAUAUAUAGUAAGAAAGCUGCAAUAUUAGACAUUAGGAUAUGUGAUCGAUCGUGUUACGUAUCUAGCUAUCUUUUCAUUAUGUCACCGAUGUGACAAAGCAAAUAGAGUCGUCAUUAGAACAACUUUACGUUUUGAUUGCUUGGCCUUAGGUUGUAAUAGAGGGGUUCCUUGUAGUUGUUAUUUUGUAAUCAAAAAAAGAAAAGAAAAGAGAACUCGAUCAGAAAAACUAGUUGAAGGGAAAGGAAGGUGAGAUCCACGAACUAGCUAAUGUGGUAGCUCACAGGUUUGCCAAUUUUGGAUAUGAAAAUAAUGGUUCACUACAACUCCUGAGUUUGUUCAGGAUGCCCUCAUGUAUGAUAUUCAUACUCAUUCAUAAAUUUAUUUCUUACAAAAAAAAAAAAAAGUGAGAUCCACGAAACACUAAUAAAGACCGGCACCCAAAGGGUGUUCACUCCCUUGUUGCAGCUCUUGGUCAUAUUCUACUAUCAAUGUACGUUUGAAAACAUAUGUAAUAUCAUUUAAUUCAUGAGUCACUCUGAGCUUUGUCAUGAAUGAAAUCACUAAAAAAAAACAAACUUGCCUUCAUUCGGAUGAAGAAUAUGUACUGUAUAUAGAUGAUGUCCGAGAAGAUCCAAGGAACCUAAACUUGGAAUUGUUGUCAAUUGAUAUUAGAGUGGCGUAUGCAACGAGAAAUUUUUCAGUGCUCCCGAAGGACCACGUGACAGUCUGACGUGGUCCUCCAUUCCAUUCAAAUUUUGACAUGUGGAUUUUCAUGAUGAAAAACUAUUUUAGCGAUUUUGUCAAAGAUCAUUUUGAGUUUCUUGUUGAUUUUUUAAAUCCUAAACCCUAAACCCUAAACCCUAAACCCUAAACCCUAAACCCUAAACCCUAAACCCUAUACCCUAAACCUUAUACCCUAACCAUAUACCCUAUACCCUAACCCCUAAAUCUUAUACCCUAAACCCUAGGCCAAACUCAUAAAAGACCCGUAACGGUCAUUUCACAAAAUAUAGAAAACCUUAGUUUAUAUUUUAGUUGUAAUAAAUCUACGUGUUAAAAUUUAAUUGGUAAGGGAGGACCACGUCAGACUAUCACGUAGUCAUUCGGGAGCAUUGAAAAAUUUCUCCGUAUGUUGCAACGAGAAAUUUUUCAGUGUUACGGGAGGACCAUGUGGCAGUCUGACGUGGUCCUGCAUUCCAAUUAAAUUUAGACAUGUGGAUUUUCUUCAUGAAAAAUCAUUUCAGCUAUUUUGUCAAAGACUAGUUUGGGUUUUAUGUUGUUUUUUAAACCCUAAACCCUAAUCCCUAAACCCUUAACCCUUAAACCCUAUACCCUAAACCCUAACCCUAAACCCUAACCCUAAACUCUAAACCCUAAACCCUAGGUUGAACUUGCUAAAUACCCAUGAAUGUC